RNAcentral lists this ribosomal RNA (146 nucleotides) under Pelobates cultripes (western spadefoot toad). Its description in RNAcentral is "SSU_rRNA_eukarya". The record is from RNAcentral. Lineage: Eukaryota; Metazoa; Chordata; Amphibia; Anura; Pelobatidae.
AUAACAAUACAGGACUCUUUCGAGGCCCUGUAAUUGGAGUGAGUACACUUUAAAUCCUUUAACAAGGAUCUAUUGGAGGGCAAGUCUGGUGCAAAGUGACUGACCCGUGCGUGCUGUAGCUGAAACUCCACUAUCGCCUGCUGCUG